This is a non-coding RNA of Xyrichtys novacula (pearly razorfish), 338 nucleotides long. The record is from the annotation of a GenBank genome assembly. NCBI's taxonomy places the organism in Eukaryota, Metazoa, Chordata, Actinopteri, Labriformes, Labridae.
AUUUGUCUUUGUACCUUGAUUUUUGAAUUUAAGAAUCCCUUAAUGGAAUGUGCAAAACCAGAGAGAAAUUCGAAACAUGGGCUGUUGAUAUCGAAAAAGGGCAAGAAAACUUCUGCAAAUGAACAUCAUAUGAAGUCAGAUACACUUGAUCAGAUAGAACACUUAGAAGAUAGAUAGAUAGGUAGAUAGAUAGAUAGAUAGAUAGAUAGAUAGAUAUAUAGAUAGAUAGAUAGAUAGAUAGAUAGAUUUUCCUGCUCAUUAUGAUGGAUACUAAUAUAUGCACAUUUUUUUAUUUUCCAUUGUAAAGAACACCGAGUUUCUCCUGUAAUAGAACUGAC